Myxocyprinus asiaticus (Chinese sucker) is the source of this 4890-nucleotide long non-coding RNA. RefSeq lists it as uncharacterized. The transcript has 2 exons. Lineage: Eukaryota; Metazoa; Chordata; Actinopteri; Cypriniformes; Catostomidae. The record is from RefSeq and is a predicted model, not a curated record.
CUGAUCAUGCAAAAAAAAACCUGUCUUUUAUUUAAGGAUAGUAAUCAUAUGAAGCCAUUCAUUAUCACAUAGUUGUUUGGCUACUUUUUAAAUCAUAAUGAUAACAGAAAUCACCCAAAUGGCCCUGAUCAAAAGUUUACAUACCCUUGAAUGUUUGGCCUUGUUACAGACACACAAGGUGAUACACACAGGUUUAAAUGGCAAUUAAAGGUUAAUUUCCCACACCUGGGGCUUUUUAAAUUGCAGUUAGUGUCUGUGUAUAAAUAGUCAAUGAGUUUGUUAGUUCUCACAUGGAUGCACUGAGCAGGCUAGAUACUGAGUCAUGGGGAGCAGAAAAGAACUGUCAAAAGACCUGCGUAACAAGGUAAUGGAACUUUAUAAAGAUGGAAAAGGAUAUAAAAAGAUAUCCAAAGCCUUGAAAAUGCCAAUCAGUACUGUUCAAUCACUUAUUAAGAAGUGGAAAAUACGGGGAUCUCUUGAUACCAAGCCAAGGUCAGGUAGACCAAGAAAGAUGCAACCUACACAACCUACGGCCACUUUGCACUUCAGAACCUGCUUCGUUCUCUUUCUCAGUGGGACUGUGAAACUGCCAGUCAGCUGUGAACAAAGCUGACUUCAUUCCAGCCUUUGCCACACAGUCCACCCUCAGCAUCCUGGAACUGACAGAAACAUGGAUCUGUCCAGAGGAUACAGCAACACCUGCUGCUCUCUCCAACAACUUCUCCUUCUCUCACACCCCUCGACACACCGAUAGGGGUGGUAGAACAGGUCAGCUGACAAACUUUCUUGAGGAGUUGGAUGUCCUGCUGUCCUCCUUUCCGGAGGAUGGUAGGUCACUUGUGGUUCUUGGUGAUUUCAACAUACACCAAGACAAGCCCCAGGCCACUGAACUGAAUACUCUUCUGGCCUCAUUUGACUUGGAAAGACUACACACCAUAGUAACUCACAGAUCAGGCAACCAGCUGGACCUCAUUUUUACACGUAACUGUUCCAACUUAAAUAUUUUGUUACUCCUCUACAUGUCUCUGAUCACUACUUUGUUCAGUUCAACAUGACUCUUCCAUUAACAUUAAAACAGACUCCACCUUUGGUUUCCUUUCGCCAUAACCCCCGUUCUCUUUCACCCUCACGCCUUUCCACUGCUGUCUCUACCUCUCUUCCCACACUAAAUAUAUUUUCCAUGCUUGAUGUAAACACUGCCACAGACACACUAAGCUCUACUUUAACAACCUGUCUAGACAACAUCUGUCCUAUCUUCUCUAGGCCAGCACGUACUACACCACCCAGCCCCUGGCUGUCUGAUAUCCUUCAUGAACAUCAGACUGACCUCAGGGCAGCUGAGAGGAGAUAGUGGAAAUCUAAAAAUCCAGCAGAUCUAGGGAAAUAUCAGUCUCUGCUUGCAACUUUUUCAGAUAACGUUAAAUCUGCAAAAACCUCCUAUUACCAGAACAAGGUCAACAGCACCACAGACACUCGCAGCUUGUUUAGAACAUUCAACACACUUCUCUGCCCUCCCCCUCCACCACCUGACACAUCACUGACAGCAGAUGUCUUCGCCACAUUUUUAACUAAUAAGGUUACAACCAUCAGCAAUACAUUCUCAGCACCACACCCUGUCAAACACCUGUCCCCUGUAUGCAACUCUUCUGUCUCUAUGUUCUCUCCUCUGACUGACACUGAGGUCUCUAAACUCCUGCUCUCCAACCACCCCACCACCUGUUCCCUUGACCCCAUUCCUUCUCACCUUCUCCAGGCCAUUUCUCCGUCCAUCCUACCUGCACUCACACACCUAAUUAACAAGUCUCUUCUUAAAGACACUUUUCCUGCUACAUAUAAGCAGGCUCGAGUAACCCCUCUGCUGAAGAAACCUGCACUUAACCCCACACAAAUAGAACAUUACAGACCAGUCUCUCCCAACCGAUUCAUGGCAAAAACACUUGAAAGGGCAGUUUUCAGUCAAAUCUCUCACAGAACAAGCUGCUGGAUGGCAAUCAGUCAGGCUUCAAAAGUGGACAUUCCACUGAGACUGCCCUGCUGUCUGUCACUGAGUCGCUGAGACAGGCAAAAGCUGAAUCGAGAUCAUCCGUCCUGAUUAUGCUGGACCAUUCUGCAGCCUUUGACACAGUCAACCAUCAGAUCUUACUCUCUACCCUCUCCUCGCUGGGCAUCACAGGAACUGUGCUUGACUGGUUUAAUUCCUAUCUCUCAGGUAGGUCCUUCAAGGCAGCCUGGAGUGGUGAGGUAUCCAAGCCACAUCAGCUACUUACUGGGGUACCUCAGGGAUCUGUGCUUGGGCCACUUCUCUUCUCUAUAUACACAACAUCACUGGGACCCAUCAUUCAGGCACAUGGUUUCUCUUACCACUGCUACGCUGAUGUCACACAACUCUACUUGUCUUUCCAGCCCAACGACACCACAGUGACUGAUCUAAUUUCAGCCUGCCUGGCAGACAUCUCAGCCUGGAUGAAGGAACACCACCUGCAACUCAACCCAGCCAAGACUGAACUCCUUGUUUUUCCAGCCAACCCUGCUGUUGAACACAACAUCAUUGUGCAGCUGGGUGCAACUACAAUAAUGCCUUCCAAAAGGUCAGAAAUCUAGGGGUAACCACUGACAACAGACUAAAUUUCACAGACCACAUCUCAAAGACCACAAGAUCAUGUAGAUUUACACUCUACAAUAUCAGGAAGAUAAGACCCUUCCUCUCUGAACAUGCCACACAACUGAUUGUCCAGUCACUUGUCAUAACUAGACUGGACUACUGUAACGCUCUCAUUGCAGGACUACCUGCAUGUGCAAUUAGACCCCUGCAAAUGAUCCAGCACGCAGCAGCACAUCUGGUUUUUAGUGAACCAAAGAGAGUGCAUGUUACACCACUCCUUGUCUCUCUCCACUGGCUGCUGGUUGAUGCACGUAUCAAAUUCAAGGCUCUGAUGCUGGCAUACAGAACAGUCACUGGGUCUGCUCCAGCAUACCUAAAAUCAUUUAUGCAGAGCAUUUGGCAAUAAAGUCUUGUUUUAAGUUUAAAUUUCAAACUUUAGACUUAAAACAAGAAAAAAAUCUGCCGAUGGGGAAAGCAAAAUAAACUUGUUUUCCCUUUGAAUUAAGUUUAUUUUUCUUACCCCAUUGGAAAACAGUUUUUUCUUGUUUUAAGCAUAAAUCUCACUAAAUUUGAUUAGAUUUCUCUCAGAACAAAACUUAAAAUCUUAUGCCAGUUUGCUUGUCUAGUAAAUAAACCACAUUUUAAUAAUGUUUAGACAUUUUUACUGGAAAACAAGACAAAAAUACUUGUCUUGAAAUUAUUUUUUUGCAAUAUAGAUCCACAAUCCAGUCAAGCCUGGUUUAUGAUGCAUCCAGAGUGAGGAUGCAUGCGAUUCGCACUGCGAUGUACAAUUGGGUAAAACCAUUGAAUGUCUUAAGGGGAAUCCCACAGUCUGGACAUUCAGGGGUUCUGCUGGGCCCCCUGUCUGUCCAGAGCCCUUAGAAUCGACCAAACCUUUCCCCAGUUACAGCGCCCCUGGUCUCCGCUACUGUCUAUUAUCAUUAAAUAACCGCGUUGGCAACUCUCUACUCACAUUAAUAUAAGGGAGAGAGGUGAUUGUGGCGCAGAGCUCUGUUCACCAUCACAGGAGCACUGCUCACUUCCUGCACUCUCCAUUGGAAUGUCUCACUGCAUGGGCUUGAUGAAACAUGAUAGGGUGGGCCAGGCCCACUCUGACCCCUCUGUAGAGCCAGUCCUGCUAUUUGACCUUCUUCAAGUGUAUGCAAUCCAGCUAAGCAUGCAAAUACAAUUUGCUCGACACCCAAGGGCAUUAUCAAGGCUAUAUGAAGAAUAACACACUCUGUCUCCAAAUACUCCACAAUAUUACUGAAGAUAUAUUUAGAGCGAAAAACAGAAAUGAUAUGAAUUGAGCCUUAAAAGAAUGUUCCUUGUUUUAAGGCCAAUGAUCUCCACAGGAUGUUCACCGCAAUAGAUUGAAGGCUUUCUUUUGACAUUUGAGUUGGUGUGGUUGAAUAAUAUUAAGAUGAUUGUCUCUUUCUCCCUCUCUCUCUUUUCUCUAUUUGUCUUUUACACUCUUGGUCUAUGUUUUCAUUUGUCAAGUUACAUGAAUAAACACCAUAAAUAUCUCUGGGGGAAAAACUGUUUGGGAAUAAGUCAUGCCUUUAAUGAUGUAAUCUUCGCUAUUGUUAAAUUUUUUUUUAUCUUAUAGUAUGUUUGGAGAUGAUUAGAUAACUUCUAUUUAAUCAACGUUUUACAAGACCUUUUGAGUCUUACAAGUUUAUAAACCGUAAAUUGUUUUUGAAUUUUUUUAUUAUUUUGUAGUUCGAGAGGUUAAAUUAGCCUCAAAACACGAUUGAUGUGCUGUGAUUGCUUAAAUCUACUAUCAGGUAUUUCAUUUGUUGAGGAUGCCAAUCCACUCCAUGUGGUUAAGCUAUCCAGUUAAUGUUUCUCAAGCCUUUUGAUAAUGUUAUGGGUCCAGCAUGUAUAUUUAGAAAGGCUGAAAACAUUAACCACUAUUUGUGUGCGUACUCACGUGUAAACACUCAGCCAAUAGGGAAUUGUAGGAGACUUUCCAAAACAAAAAAAAUUGUUUGUCAUGCUACUAUCACCAGAGUCUAGAUCUUCUAUUUUCUCAAAACAAAGAGAUAAAAAAAACAACAAGGGGCAGCUGGUUGGUGCUCUAAAGGGCUCCAAUGUGUGUGGUCAGCCUGAAGCUACACUGAUUUUUGUUGAUGUGGUUUAAGUUGUAAACCAUCUGAUCUGUUUUGUCUCCUGUUGGCAAACACAAUCUCUAAGGGGCUCGCAAAGCAGUGGCGAAUUCUCAGGGCCAGCAAAGCCUUCUCUGCUGGCCUAACAUGCCAAUUAAAUAAAUAUUUUUCAUCCUUUCA